AUAAUAAUAAUAAUUACAACGCCGGCCCAUAGGGCCUGGCAUGGAUUAACGGGGCAAGGUGACUAGGGCGAGAGGGCCCGCCCCCCUCACGCUGACGCCUCACCACGAAAGAGUCACAACCUCCGAAACUACAACCUCCAAGUCCUAGGCCGCUCUUCAAAGUCCACUACAUCCAAGCCUGCAUACCUAGCAUAUUGAGCUAGGGAAACGCCGCAUUAUAGUAGUGGAGCACUGCCAGUUCGUGCAAACCGAGGAGCCAUGGCGCUCCUCCUCGAGCCUUGGAUCUUGAGCCUUGUCUUGAACCUUGGACCUCGCCACUAAAUCGGACUUCUGCACCACGACCAUUCUAGGUUGCAGCGGGCAUAAGCCCGCAAUUGCCACUAAGGGCAAUUACCUAUCGUUCGUGGGAUCACCAAUCGGUUUCGCACCAAUCUUUCGCCUUUUGCAUAAUUGGGCUUUUAUCCGGAUUCGUACCCGGGUCCCUUCUGCCGUAAGGACGAGUCAAAUCCCUAACUGAGUUAGCGAUCCAGUGAUAGGUGGUCCGCAGGCGGGGUGAGGACAGUGCGCCCCCAACCCCCCGCACCCCGUGGUCACCUGUGGCCGAAUGCCCUUGCCCGCCCGGUACAGCCCGCAAGGCAGGUAAGCAUGUUGCAGCCGGUACACCAGCACCUUUGCCCCCCGACUGGCGUGGCUGUCCCACAGCCUCCGCCACGUACCCCGCAGAAGGGACGCAUCCGGGGGCGGCAUGCGAGGGUCGCCCUCCACCGCCGCCGCUGCUGCCGCCGCCGCCGUGGCAGGCCCCAUGCUAGGUCCCGCCCCGCCUGCCGCCUGCUCCUGCAACCGCGCGGACCGCCGCGGCCCCUCACCCGAGUGCUGGGACGGGGACGCAUACGACUGCAGUUCUCUCGCCGGCGUGUUCUGCAGCCCGGCUGCCGCGGAGGUGCGGUGGAGCCAGGGGUCCAGAGCCACCGGGUUAUUGUGGAAAUGCUGCGCCGCCGUGGUGGUCAGCUGCGCCGCUGCACGCUGCCACUCCGCCUCCCGCUCCGCCAGCCGCGACUGUGCCACCGGCUGGGUCCCCGAACCCCCCGCCUGCUGUGCUGGCGCCGGGCACGGCAUGGCUGCGGGGCGGGCCGGAGCCGGAGGUGCGGCCGGGUUGGCCGCGGUGAUGGCCCGCCGCACGUCCCGCACCGUGUAGUCCGCCAAGCUGACACCCGCAAUCCGGCAGUGCUCCGGGUGCACCACCACCCCAGCCUCCGGCGCCAGGAAGUACGGCGCCCGAGGCCACGCCCCCGCCCGUUCCCCUGGUGAUGCUGCAUCGUACGCCGCCCGCUCUUCAAAGGUCCACAGGUGCCGCGGCUUGCGAUGCUGCAGCACACAGGCAGGCUGCCACGCCCCAUCCACCGCCGGGGGCAACACGCCAGGCCCAGGCUCCAAGAGCCGCCCUGUGUAGUGGACGUAGGACACAGCCCCCGCAGCGUUAGCCACCCACAGCUGAUCCAGGCUAACCCGCCACUGUGGCAGCGCCGCUGGCGGCUGAGUGGCUGGCUGCAGCGGAUGCUGUUCCACACCCGCGCUCCGCACGUGACCGACCGCGGCCGCCAGCCGGGCAGGCAGCCCCGCUGGCGCCGGCGCGUCGCUGUACACCCACGCCCACGUGGUGGCGGAGUCCGGGCGCACAUGAGUAAGCAGCGCCCGGGUGAGCAUCUUCCAGGGUUGCCGGCCUGGCUGGGCAAGGAGGGCGAAGGUCUUAGCUUGCAGGGCAGACAGGAACGCAGGCAGGUCGACGUGGUUGACACCCCCAUCCUUGUACGGCAGACAUGCCGUUUCCCGCUUUGGCAGCAGGAGCGGGUUCCCGUGCGACACCAGGCUGGCGUCCUCAGCGUGCAUGGAGCGCGCAGCAAAGUGGUCCACCAGGUCGGUGAGUUCCUUCAGCUGUGCAGGCGACGGGUUGAGGAAGCUGAAGUGGUAGGCCAGCUUCGCCGCCAGCACCUGCUUCGCAAUGUGCACACGGCCAACAAGAGUCAGAGACAGGGCAGCCCACAGACGCGCCACAAACGCCAUGCCGCGAGCCCGCCGGGUGUACAAGUCAGCUGCAGCCGCCUCAGAGUCCCACGACAGGGGCCGCCUUGAGGUGCCCGAGCCGCCUUGAGCUGUGCGGUGAGAAGCUGAGUGGGCAGAGCCGACAGGGUUUCAGGGGUUAGCGUGGCGGCAGUGAAACGCAGCUGCAUCACCCUGCGCAGCUCGCUGACCACCUCCCGAACCACAUGCUCCGACGUCUGCUUAGCAGGCUCGCGGGACCAGUACGCACACCAGACGGCGUACAAGAAGGUGGCCCGCAAAGUGCUCCACAGCAGCGCGCCCGCCCCCCGCGGGCCUGAGGCCCACAUACCCAUGCGGUCCCCCAGCAUGAAGCCCGCGUCCGUCACUGGCGGCGCCGCUGCCUGGGGCGCAACGCAGGCCCACAGCUGCUGCAGCCACGUCCUCGCCUGCGCAUAAGCUGGACACUCCAGGAAGAUGUGCGUCAGGCUGGCCCACGCCCGCGGGCCAGGUGGCCCGCAGGAAUAAUAAUAAUAAUAAUUACAACGCCGGCCCAUAGGGCCUGGCAUGGAUUAACGGGGCAAGGUGACUAGGGCGAGAGGGCCCGCCCCCCUCACGCUGACGCCUCACCACGAAAGAGUCACAACCUCCGAAACUACAACCUCCAAGUCCUAGGCCGCUCUUCAAAGUCCACUACAUCCAAGCCUGCACACCUAGCAUAUUGAGCUAGGGAAACGCCGCAUUGUAGUAGUGGAGCACUGCCAGUUCGUGCAAACCGAGGAGCCAUGGCGCUCCUCCUCGAGCCUUGGAUCUUGAGCCUUGUCAUGAACCUUGGACCUCGCCACUAAAUCGGACUUCUGCACCACGACCAUUCUAGGUUGCAGCGGGCAUAAGCCCGCAAUUGCCACUAAGGGCAAUUACCUAUCGUUCGUGGGAUCACCAAUCGGUUUCGCACCAAUCUUUCGCCUUUUGCAUAAUUGGGCUUUUAUCCGGAUUCGUACCCGGGUCCCUUCUGCCGUAAGGACGAGUCAAAUCCCUAACUGAGUUAGCG
RNAcentral lists this long non-coding RNA (3088 nucleotides) under Chlamydomonas reinhardtii. RNAcentral's name for it is "long non-coding RNA (CREI_LNC001443)". Lineage: Eukaryota; Viridiplantae; Chlorophyta; Chlorophyceae; Chlamydomonadales; Chlamydomonadaceae. The record is from RNAcentral.